This 402-nucleotide ribosomal RNA is filed under the name uncultured bacterium. RNAcentral describes it as "bacterial SSU rRNA". It matches the Rfam family "Bacterial small subunit ribosomal RNA", at positions 355 to 775 of the family's 1533-position model. The record is from RNAcentral.
UGGGGAAUAUUGCACAAUGGAGGGAACUCUGAUGCAGCGACGCCGCGUGAGUGAAGAAGGUCUUCGGAUCGUAAAACUCUGUCCUUGGUGAAGAAAAGGACGGUAGCCAAGGAGGAAGCCCCGGCUAACUACGUGCCAGCAGCCGCGGUAAUACGUAGGGGGCGAGCGUUGUCCGGAUUUACUGGGCGUAAAGGGUGAGUAGGCGGUUAUAUAUGUCAGGUGUAAAAAGCUAUGGCUUAACCAUAGUAAGCACUUGAAACUGUAUGACUUGAGUGCAGGAGAGGUAAGCGGAAUUCCUAGUGUAGCGGUGAAAUGCGUAGAUAUUAGGAGGAACACCGGUGGCGAAGGCGGCUUACUGGACUGUAACUGACGCUGAGUCACGAAAGCGUGGGUAGCAAACAG